GAGAACUGGAGUAUCUUCUGCUAGAAGGAUUCUUAGGCCCUCCAAAGCUUUCUGUUGAUUCGCAGCUUUGCUCAAGUAUGAAUCAACUCUCCCUUUAGGACAAGUACUGCUUCCUGAACAUUGAUCUUUGGUGAAUGAAUUAGAUGUUUCAUCUUUUCUGUCAUGUGAGUUGUUCUUGGUUCGAUUUGUAUCUUCCUUCAAAUUAUUUUCUUCUAGAUCCACAUCAGUUAAUUCAAUUAAGCACUUGCUAAUUGUCUGAUACUUUGAUGCACUUGUGGUCCUGCAUCUUUCCUUUUGUUUCUCUUCAUUGUGAAAUACAUCUAGAGAAUUCGAAUUACCCAUUUCCGCCAUAUCUGAAUCUUCUGAACUAGCAUUGUCAAACUGAGUGGAAUCAAUUUCAAGACAUUCAUGCAUAUCAUUGGCAUCCUUUGCUAUACCUCUCGCAGCAUUCAAACUUUUCUUUUGUUGUUCCUUGAUAACAGUUUCCAAGAUUUGAAUCAUUUUUGCCUUGUAUAGAGGUUUAUUGACCAUCAGUAUGUGCC
This 542-nucleotide long non-coding RNA is filed under the name Jatropha curcas. Its description in RNAcentral is "long non-coding RNA (JCUR_LNC000084)". Lineage: Eukaryota; Viridiplantae; Streptophyta; Magnoliopsida; Malpighiales; Euphorbiaceae. The record is from RNAcentral.